RNAcentral lists this transfer RNA (66 nucleotides) under Mythimna pallidicosta. RNAcentral describes it as "tRNA-Tyr". The record is from RNAcentral. Lineage: Eukaryota; Metazoa; Arthropoda; Insecta; Lepidoptera; Noctuidae.
AAUAAAAUGGCUGAGAUUAAGCGAUAAAUUGUAAAUUUAUUUACGAGAAAUAAUUCUCUUUUAUUA